Molecule: ribosomal RNA, 468 nt
Filed under: uncultured bacterium
Lineage: Bacteria
Description: partial 16S ribosomal RNA
Rfam family: Bacterial small subunit ribosomal RNA
Source: RNAcentral
GACGAACGCUGGCGGCGUGCUUAACACAUGCAAGUCGAACGGAAAGGCCCUGCUUUUGUGGGGUGCUCGAGUGGCGAACGGGUGAGUAACACGUGAGUAACCUGCCCUUGACUUUGGGAUAACUUCAGGAAACUGGGGCUAAUACCGGAUAGGAGCUCCUGCUGCAUGGUGGGGGUUGGAAAGUUUCGGCGGUUGGGGAUGGACUCGCGGCUUAUCAGCUUGUUGGUGGGGUAGUGGCUUACCAAGGCUUUGACGGGUAGCCGGCCUGAGAGGGUGACCGGCCACAUUGGGACUGAGAUGCGGCCCAGACUCCUCCGGGAGGCAGCGGUGGGGAAUGUUGCACAAUGGGCGGAAGCCUGGUGCGACAACGCCGCGUGCGGGAUGACGGCCUUCGGGUUGUAAACCGCUUUCGCCUGUGACGAAGCGUGAGUGACGGUAAUGGGUAAAGAAGCACCGGCUAACUACGUG